UACAGAGGGUGCGAGCGUUGUCCGGAAUUACUGGGCGUCAAGGGCGCGUAGGCGGUUCGGUAAGUAGGAGGUGAAAUUUCGGGGCUCACCCCUGAAACUGCCUUCUAAACUGCCGAACUGGAGCACGGUAGAGGCAGAUGGAAUUCCCGGUGUAGCGGUGGAAUGCGUAGAGAUCGGGAAGAACACCAGUGGCGAAGGCGGCUUUCUGGUCUGUAACCGACGCUGAGGCGCGAAAGCGUGGGGAUCAAACAGG
RNAcentral lists this ribosomal RNA (253 nucleotides) under uncultured bacterium. RNAcentral's name for it is "partial 16S ribosomal RNA". It matches the Rfam family "Bacterial small subunit ribosomal RNA", at positions 524 to 776 of the family's 1533-position model. The record is from RNAcentral.